Non-coding RNA from Coniosporium uncinatum, 111 nucleotides. NCBI's taxonomy places the organism in Eukaryota, Fungi, Ascomycota, Dothideomycetes. The record is from the annotation of a GenBank genome assembly.
GGUCGGUUAGCUCAGUUGGUUAGAGCGUGGUGCUAAUAACUUCAUCCGGAUCAUGAGGAUCCUGAGCGAGUUGCAACGCCAAGGUCGCGGGUUCGACCCCCGUACUGACCA